GUGCCAGCCGCCGCGGUAAAACGUAGGAGCCAAGCGUUAUCCGAAUUCACUGGGCGUAAAGCGUGUGCAGGCGGCUUGAUAAGUUGGAUGUGAAAUCUCCUGGCUCAACUGGGAGAGGCCGUUCAAUACUGUCGAGCUCGAGGGCAACAGAGGGAGGUGGAAUUCCCGGUGUAGUGGUGAAAUGCGUAGAUAUCGGGAGGAACACCAGUGGCGAAAGCGGCCUCCUGGGUUGUACCUGACGCUCAGACACGAAAGCUAGGGGAGCGAACGGGAUUAGAAACCCUGGUAGUCC
RNAcentral lists this ribosomal RNA (292 nucleotides) under uncultured bacterium. RNAcentral's name for it is "partial 16S ribosomal RNA". It matches the Rfam family "Bacterial small subunit ribosomal RNA", at positions 505 to 796 of the family's 1533-position model. The record is from RNAcentral.